AAAGUGACAGCUGGAUAAUGUUGUCCUCCAAGAGUCACUGUUGCAUGGCAAGAGGACUAGGGGAGCUGCUGAAGAUGGAUUAAACAGCUGAUACCUGGAAUUAGAGCCUGUCAGAAGUCCAGCUUGACCUCUAUUUACAGACAGCUUUC
Non-coding RNA from Sturnus vulgaris (Common starling), 149 nucleotides. The record is from RefSeq and is a predicted model, not a curated record. NCBI's taxonomy places the organism in Eukaryota, Metazoa, Chordata, Aves, Passeriformes, Sturnidae.